RNAcentral lists this ribosomal RNA (629 nucleotides) under uncultured bacterium. RNAcentral's name for it is "bacterial SSU rRNA". It matches the Rfam family "Bacterial small subunit ribosomal RNA", at positions 56 to 683 of the family's 1533-position model. The record is from RNAcentral.
UGCAGUCGAACGGUAACAUUUCUAGCUUGCUAGAAGAUGACGAGUGGCGGACGGGUGAGUAAUACUUAGGAAUAUGCCUUUGUGUGGGGGAUAACUAUUGGAAACGAUAGCUAAUACCGCAUAACGUCUUCGGACCAAAGGGGGCUUCGGCUCCCGCGCAAAGAGUAGCCUAAGCGAGAUUAGCUUGUUGGUGAGGUAAAGGCCCACCAAGGCGACGAUCUCUAGCUGUUCUGAGAGGAAGAUCAGCCACACUGGAACUGAGACACGGUCCAGACUCCUACGGGAGGCAGCAGUGGGGAAUAUUGCACAAUGGGGGAAACCCUGAUGCAGCCAUGCCGCGUGUGUGAAGAAGGCCUUCGGGUUGUAAAGCACUUUCAGUUGUGAGGAAAGUUUGACGGUUAAUACCCGUUAGAUGUGACGUUAGCAACAGAAGAAGGACCGGCUAACUCCGUGCCAGCAGCCGCGGUAAUACGGAGGGUCCGAGCGUUAAUCGGAAUUACUGGGCGUAAAGCGCACGCAGGCGGUUUGUUAAGCUAGAUGUGAAAGCCCCGGGCUCAACCUGGGAAUAGCAUUUAGAACUGGCAGACUAGAGUCUUGGAGAGGGGAGUGGAAUUUCUGGUGUAGCGGUG